Molecule: unclassified non-coding RNA, 224 nt
Filed under: Hevea brasiliensis (rubber tree)
Lineage: Eukaryota; Viridiplantae; Streptophyta; Magnoliopsida; Malpighiales; Euphorbiaceae
Source: RNAcentral
UUCAAGCAAGCUUUCGAGACAUGAUAUUUGUUCUUCAUUGGACGAAGACCAGGGUCCUUUAUAUUUCUCUCCCGAAAGCCCCCUAUCACGUCAAGAUCUUGUGAGUUGGAAGAUGGCCCUUGAAAAAAGGCAGCUUCCAGAGGCAGAUAGAAAGAUGCUCCACCAAGUUUCUGGAUUUAUUGAUACUGAUAAGAUCCAUCCAGAUGCUUGUCCUGCACUUGUUG